CGAAGCAUUUGUGAUUUGGCUUGGUGAUGUCGACUCCAUUCCUAGUGUUUUCAUCAAGAAGUGCUUUUCCUGCAAGAAUGCACGAUAUAACGGUAAGCAAGAAUUGUGAAAAAAAUUGAUUGAUUUAGCGUAAUUAUAUUUUAUUGACAUCAAGGUACAUUUGUUAUAGCAUAACACGUAAGAAAACAUAGUUAAGAUCGCCUUCACUUUAGAAAUGAGAACCGAAGAGGGUUUCAUUGUAUCUGCAGUAUAAACUAAAAGUUCAAAAUGCAUCAAAGCUUUCGAUUUUGAAAACCGAAGUUUCCUUAUCAAGUUAUCUGCCACAUAGAACAAAAUAAUUUGCGUUAAAGAAUUUCUUGACUCGAUAGAACAAACUUUCUUGAUAGCCCACGACUUUACUACUAAGAAUGCUGUACAUUAAAUCACAAUGAUUACUGCUAUGGUUUAAUUACGAAAAAAUAUUUAAAAGUUCUUACACUCUCCGAGAAUUUUGGGCUGGGAAUAGCUGCUGCCAAUGCUGUGAAUAACGGAGUCACGUGGAGCGGUGAACCAAAUUCAGCCCCAGAAUAUUCACACACUGCUUCACCGUCGUUUUUUAUUUCAUCGUAUGUUAACAUGUUCGCUGUAAUAGAGUAGAUAUUGUCUCAUUUCCACAACUUUAAAGAUUAGAUAAAAGCUGCAAAGAUUGGAUUUUUACGCAUUGUACCUUCAUUUGUGACUGCAGCAUGGCAUAUUCCGUUUUCCUCAACAAGAGAAUCCAGACCAUCCAAUUGAUCUGAUUGCAAUUUGUGUUCAAUUUCAGCGUGGCAUUCUUCUGUUUUGCCACCUGGCGCAUUCGACACC
This 843-nucleotide long non-coding RNA is filed under the name Erythranthe guttata (spotted monkey flower). RNAcentral describes it as "long non-coding RNA (EGUT_LNC002314)". Lineage: Eukaryota; Viridiplantae; Streptophyta; Magnoliopsida; Lamiales; Phrymaceae. The record is from RNAcentral.